GACGAACGCUGGCGGCGUGCUUAACACAUGCAAGUCGAACGGUGAAGCGCUUUCCUUUUUGGUUGGUGUGGAUGAGUGGCGAACGGGUGAGUAACACGUUAGUAACCUGCCCCCUUCUUCUGGAUAACCGCAUGAAAGUGUGGCUAAUACGGGAUAUUCUGCGCCUGCUGCAUGGUGGGUGUGGGAAAGAUUGUGCCUUUGGGUGUUUUCGGUGGGGGAUGGGCUCGCGGCCUAUCAGCUUGUUGGUGGGGUGAUGGCCUACCAAGGCGGUGACGGGUAGCCGGCAUGAGGGGGUGGACGGUCAGACUGGGACUGAGACACGGCCCAGACUCCUACGGGAGGCAGCAGUGGGGAAUAUUGCACAAUGGGCGCAAGCCUGAUGCAGCGACGCCGCGUGAGGGAUGGAGGCCUUCGGGUUGUGAACCUCUUUCGCCAGUGAAGCAGGCCUGCUCCUUGUGGGUGGGUUGACGGUAGCUGGAGAAGAAGCGCCGGCUAACUACGUG
RNAcentral lists this ribosomal RNA (503 nucleotides) under uncultured bacterium. Its description in RNAcentral is "partial 16S ribosomal RNA". It matches the Rfam family "Bacterial small subunit ribosomal RNA", at positions 28 to 507 of the family's 1533-position model. The record is from RNAcentral.